AUAUGAGUGGAUCUGCAGUGAAGCUGCCACUGAACAUUUUGUGUUGAGUUUGUAUAUUUGGUCAGUUAUUGCACUAAAGGAAUCAGUCCUCAUGUUUUCUUAUUGAUUUGAUCUGCUCCAGAUGGUCCAAAGCUUCUGUCAGUGUCAGUGAGUCCCUCUGCUGAGAUAGUGGAGGGCAGUUCAGUGACUCUGACCUGUAGCAGUGAUGCUAACCCAGCAGCUAAUUACACCUGGUACAAGAAACAUGGAAAUCCAAGUCUUCAACCAGCCAGUAAACGGUUUAACUUCAGCUCCAUCCAGUCCUCUGACUCUGGAGAGUAUUACUGUACAGCUGAGAAUGAUCUGGGAAGGAGAACAUCUGGAUCCAUCUUUAUUCAUGUGACAUGUGAGUCAAACAGCUUCUUUAGAAAGCAACAUACAGCUAAUAAUAGAUUAUACAGUCACAUAUUCAUAUAUAAUGUUGUAAAAACCAGGAACCAGUUUUGCUGAUCAUACCUGUUUCUUCAGCUGUGCCUGCUGCCAGUCACAAAACCACCUCUAAAGUUUCCACUAACAGACUGAGGCUUGACACUGAUUAACAGACAGUAUCAGCUGACAAAUGACUGAUCACUCUGAUGUAGAUCUCCUGUCUGUUGGGGUCCAGUUCCAGGUCAAUCAGUAAGAAUCAUGAAUAUCAUCAGAUUGACUCUGGUGGUCCUGAUGCUGAUUCCUCUGCUUGUCUUGAGUCUGUGGACGAGGAAGAAGAAAACUUUGUGUUUCAAAGCUGAACUGAAGGAACCUGUAGAGAUGACAGAGUUUGACUCUGAUCCUGUUUAUCCGAACAUCUCAGCCUUGACGCCCAUCGCUGCAGCUCAGACAGACGACUCAGAGGAGCAGGAAGACCUGGUGUGAAGUCCAGUCUGGUUAGAGCCUCAUGUACGGUCAUACAAAUAGACUGGUUGUGUAAAUACAGAUAUUUGAGCAUUGACUUAGUUAGAGUGCAGUGCUGGGGGGAGUCCUGACCUUUGACAGUGUUAUUGUGGCAGGUGUUAGAAUAAAAGAGUUUAAAACUGGGUGGUCUCAAACCACCGUGGGGGUAAAACAGCCUCAGAGUCUGCAGGCAGGACACUUGAGGGGCUUAUUGGCAAAAUGUAAUCUUUUAAAGAUUUGACUUUCUUUACAUCUACCAAAAUAAAGAAAUACAUCAGUGAAGGUGUUUGUGGAGUCUGUGGUUUUGUGGCUGGUUUUGGACUCAUGGGAGGAGCAAAGCUUUUCAUAAUUGUGCCAGGUGUUUCCUGGGUGUUUGGAAGGUUGGUAUUUCCAGGUAGUGGAACAGGUUCAUUUUUCUGAUUGACAGACAAAAACAAACUAAUAUUGAAAUGAUAUACAGCAGAGUGGGCCUCAGAUAAUGGUUAUGUGUAAUAUGUGUUUGAGAUAUGGGUUUAAAGGUGAGUCCUUUAAUUUGUAGAAAACUGAUAUUUUCUCUGUCAGAGAGAAGAUGUUAUAAAUGUAAAUAUGACAGGACAACAAAUAUGUGGAGAAAAGCAAAGGUGCAAACUUAUUGUGAACUCAAAAUGAUGGAUUUUUAAUGGAUGACAGAAAAGCCAAAGAUUUGUGAUGUGAAGUGUGAUGUGAAGUGAUGCCCUGGA
Long non-coding RNA from Mastacembelus armatus (zig-zag eel), 1628 nucleotides. The record is from Ensembl. NCBI's taxonomy places the organism in Eukaryota, Metazoa, Chordata, Actinopteri, Synbranchiformes, Mastacembelidae.